Molecule: non-coding RNA, 28 nt
Filed under: Homo sapiens (human)
Lineage: Eukaryota; Metazoa; Chordata; Mammalia; Primates; Hominidae
Source: RNAcentral
UGUCAAGAAGGUCCAGGGUGCUGGUGGC